Molecule: non-coding RNA, 1103 nt
Organism: Poecilia reticulata (guppy)
Lineage: Eukaryota; Metazoa; Chordata; Actinopteri; Cyprinodontiformes; Poeciliidae
Source: RefSeq, a predicted model, not a curated record
AGAUUAAGCAUUAUUGCUGGUUUAGAAGCGUUAAAACACAAAGCCUCCCCUCUCUAUAAAGAGUAGGCAACACAAAUAAGUGUGUCAUGUUAAAUUUGAAACUAAUGUUAAAAAUUACAAGUAAAUCGCUGACAUUUUUGAGAUUUCAACAUGUUCUUGCCCCCUCACAGAUUAGCUGUUAGCUUCCAGGACCAAAUAAUGGGCAUUUAUUCUAAACCAAUCUCCUUCAGAACCUUCAGCCCUGCUGGGAGUGCUGGUGUUGGGUCCCUUCAUGUAUGCCAGGGGUCUUCAGCUGCAGCACUGGAUGGACAUGAUCAACAAAGCACAGGAGCCGGUCAGAAUGUGGCACAGACUGGGCCGGGCAAUAUAAAUCCCAACAUAGCAUUCAGAGGCUAAAGRGGAGUAAAAAAUAAAAAAAACCUUCAAAUAUUUGUUUAUYUUAGGCUUAGGUCCAGUCUCCAAGAGCUACUAUUAGUGACGGUGUGCUUAAAGCUGAAGCUCCAGGGCAUAUGUCGUGAAAAGCAACAUGGUGGUUUGUAARUCAAAGCUUGAUUUGGUCGGCCACUCAGUGAGGUUUCAGAAGAAUCAUGGUAUUGUUAGUUUGGUUCAACACGUYAACAGGAAGUGAAUCAUUGCUCAGACUACGUAGUCUGGAGCUUUGGUGUAAAUUAAAUUAAAUUAAAGCUGCUCUUCAUACUUUUCGCCACCAGAUGCCACUGAAGAGGUGAAAAGCUUUGAGUAAUUGAUCUUUAUUCAAUAGAAUCUUCAGAAAGCAUAAUUUGUUAGCAAGCCAUUCAAAGGGUUUGCAUAUAAAUGUAUCAGGAUAGCAGUUGUCAACAACUGGGCGGAAAAAAAAUUAAGGAUUUGCCAGUUUCUUGUUUUAUUUUUUUAUGAUAAAUUACCAGACCCUGUAGUUUAACUGCUCUAGUUUGUCCCUCCAUUUGACCUUCUGUCCCAGCCACACCAAUAAUAUCAUCAAAAGUUGACAUUAAUUAGAGUUGGAAAUGAAAAUAAAGAUUGAUUGUCUUGAGGCCUUUGUAUUUAUACUUCUUGCAUUUAUGUAUUUAAUUUCCCUUUGGAAAUAAAGUAUUUUUUAAAUGUGA